CCUACGGGUGGCAGCAGUGAGGAAUAUUGGUCAAUGGACGAGAGUCUGAACCAGCCAAGUCGCGUGAAGGAUGAAUGCCCUAUGGGUUGUAAACUUCUUUUAUAAAGGAAUAAAACGAGGCACGUGUGCCUUUUUGCAUUUACUUUAUGAAUAAGAAUCGGCUAACUCCGUGCCAGCAGACGCGGUAAUACGGAGGAUCCGAGCAUUGUCCGGAUUUAUGGGGUUUAAAGGGAGCGUAGAUGGGUUGUUAAGUCAGUUGUGAAAGUUUGCGGCUCAACCGUAAAAUUGCAAGUGAUACUGUAAGUCUUGAGUACAGUUGAGGUAAGCGGAAUUCGUGGUGUAGCGGUGAAAUGCUUAGAUAUCACGAAGAACCCCGAUUGCGAAGGCAGCUUACUAACUUGUGACUGACAUUGAUGCUCGAAAGUGUGGGUAUCAAACAGGAUUAGAUACCCUGGUAGUC
This 460-nucleotide ribosomal RNA is filed under the name uncultured bacterium. RNAcentral's name for it is "partial 16S ribosomal RNA". It matches the Rfam family "Bacterial small subunit ribosomal RNA", at positions 338 to 795 of the family's 1533-position model. The record is from RNAcentral.